UACGUAGGGUGCAAGCGUUGUCCGGAAUUAUUGGGCGUAAAGAGCUCGUAGGCGGUUUGUCGCGUCGAAUGUGAAAACCCGUGGCUCAACUACGGGCUGGCGGUCGAUACGGGCAGGCUGGAGUUCGGUAGGGGAGACUGGAAUUCCUGGUGUAGCGGUGAAAUGCGCAGAUAUCAGGAGGAACACCGGUGGCGAAGGCGGGUCUCUGGGCCGAUACUGACGCUGAGGAGCGAAAGCGUGGGGAGCGAACAGG
This 253-nucleotide ribosomal RNA is filed under the name uncultured bacterium. RNAcentral describes it as "partial 16S ribosomal RNA". It matches the Rfam family "Bacterial small subunit ribosomal RNA", at positions 524 to 776 of the family's 1533-position model. The record is from RNAcentral.